UUAUCCUAGGAAACGUAAAAAUGGGGGAUUUGAAAUUUGGUUCCUACAACAUUCACCUCUAAAUGACAAUAAGGGAAAAAUAAAAAUUUCAUAGAAUUUUUUUUCACUUUUAGUGCUAACGCGAUACAUUAUAAAUUUAGGAUAAUUCUAACGUGCGAGCGUAUGGAAUGGGGCUUUUUUAUGGAACGUUGAUCUUCAAUUAUGGGCCUUAAAGUAGCCUCCAGCACGGAGUGCAAAAGAUGAACCUGUGUAUAACUAAAAAAAAAUUUCGUUAGAUCUUCUUUAAUCAUCAAUGUCUUUUUUUUUUGGUAAAUCUCACGAUCGUUCUUGCGAAAGCUGAAGUUGAGAAAGAUGUCGCAAUUAAGGUGAAAUUGAAGGCAAAACAGUAGUGAGAAUCAACUAUUGUUGAGAUCUGGAGUCAUCGCUUGCAAAAGAUAUGGGAUUCGAGUUUAAUCACCUCUAAGGCAAGCUCAAGAGGACGUAAUCCCAAUAAUUUUUGGCGGUGAACCUCUAUAAAUCGUUGUAAUGGCAAGGGAAAGGUCGACCAACCAUGAGUUGGAGAGCGUGAAGCGACGUGUACAUGUUCGGCCUACCUGACUGUCACGGCUAGGGUUGUUUGAGGAAUUACUAUAAAUGGCUGAUUUUGUCGCUUAGGUCGACUUUAUUGUUAUAAACUUUUGAACUGUAAUACAUUUUGUAUCAGUAUUUUGGGAUCAAAAAUGUAUAAUUUUUAUGAUUUUAAUGAAUGUCCAAAUCUUUAUAUCC
This is a long non-coding RNA of Humulus lupulus (European hop), 765 nucleotides long. RefSeq lists it as uncharacterized. The transcript is spliced from 3 exons. Lineage: Eukaryota; Viridiplantae; Streptophyta; Magnoliopsida; Rosales; Cannabaceae. The record is from RefSeq and is a predicted model, not a curated record.